This 31-nucleotide non-coding RNA is filed under the name Rattus norvegicus (Norway rat). The record is from RNAcentral. Lineage: Eukaryota; Metazoa; Chordata; Mammalia; Rodentia; Muridae.
UGCACCUGGAGAACUUGCCUGUACAGUAAGU